CUCACCUUAGCUCAGUUGGAAGAGCAUAAGACUGUAAUUGAUUAUUGAAAUCUUGGGGUCCCCGGUUCGAUCCCGGGAGGUGAGA
Molecule: non-coding RNA, 85 nt
Organism: Brettanomyces nanus
Lineage: Eukaryota; Fungi; Ascomycota; Pichiomycetes; Pichiales; Pichiaceae
Source: the annotation of a RefSeq genome assembly